UUAUCUUUGGCUAAUCUAAUUGGAAGGGUACAAAAUUACUUUGAUUUUUUGUACGAUCUUCUAUAAGAAAGACUAACACAUGAACCCUUAUGCAAUAUCAUUAGCCAUUUCUCACCUGGUGUGUUUAGCUGAAAGAUAAGUUGUAUAUAUUUAUAAAUUUAUUCUUAGUUUUAUAGGACUUACAUUAACGUUUCAUAAAUUUCUAUAGAAGAAAGACCUAUUUAAAAAUAUUUUUCAUUUAUUUAUGCAAUUGUGUGCAAUAACUUUUAAAUAUGGACCACCUUAAGAGUAAUCCUUUAACUUUGGUUGAUGAUCUUGCAACUGAAACUCCUGGUCCAUCUGAGAGUGCUACCACCAAUAAAAAAUAAGUCUUAAAUGUUUGGAAUUUUUUCACAAAAAUAGGAAAAAAUGAGGAUGGCAUUAAGGUUGCAUGUAAGUAUUGUGGCAAUAACUACAAAGUUGGAAAACACCCUGUUACUAAAAACAAUUAUGGAACUUCACAUUUAAGUCAGCAUGUCAAUGCAUGUAGAAGUAUUGCAAACUUAGAUGUGGAUCUUUACCAAGAAGGAAAGUUUGGGAUCCGAAAAAUCAAUAAAAAAAUUCAUCGGAAGUUACUUGCAAGAGCUAUAAUUAAACAUAGUCUUCGUUAUAAUUUUGUCGAAUAUGAAGGAAUUAGAGAAUGGAUAAAAUACAUUAAUCCUAAUGUUGACAUGAAAUGUAGGAACACUAUUGUUUCAGAUGUGGAAAAGGAAUACCUUGAACAGAAGGAUAAAGUUAAGCAAAUAAUGUCUAGGAUUCCUAAUAGAAUUUAUUUAACAUCUGAUGUUUGGACUGCAGUUACUUCUGAGGGAUAUAUUUGCCUAACUGCGCACUUUGUUGAUGAAGAUUGGAAAUUAACAAGUAAGAUUCUUAACUUCUGUCGAAUGAAACCACCACAUACAGGUGUUGAACUAGAAAGUGUUGUGUUUGAUUGCCUAAAGCAAUGGGGUAUUGAUAAGAAAAUUUUCUCAAUUACCCUGGACAAUGCUUCUGCCAAUAAUAAUUUGCAAGACAUUCUAAAAAGCCAUCUUUGUGUUCAUAGAAAUUUAUUAUGUGAUGGUGAGUUUUUCCAUGUACGAUGUUGUGCUCAUACUCUUAAUUUGAUAGUUCAAGAUGGUUUAAAGGUGAUUGACAAAGCAAUCCAUAAUAUUAGAGAGAGUAUUAAGUAUGUUAAAUCAUCAGAUAGAAGAACUCUCAAAUUCAAAGAAUGUGUUAGUGAUGUUGGCAUAAAUAUGAGCAUGGGUUUGAGAUUAGAUGUGACUACAAGAUGGAAUUCAACCUAUUUAAUGCUUGAAAGUGCAAUCAAAUAUAAGGAAGCUUUUCAAAUUCUCAAAGUGGUUGAUAGAAAUUAUAAAAAUUGUCCAUCUUCUGAGGAAUGGAAUAGGGGAGAGAAAAUAUGUCAAUUCUUAGAACCAUUUUAUGAGAUUACAAACAUGAUGUCUGGUUCAUCUUAUCCCACUUCAAACUUGUAUUUUAUGCAAAUUUGGAAAAUUCAGCUUAUCAUUGAAGAGAAUUUGUUGAAUGAAGAUGUUACCUUAAAGGAUAUAGCUAUGAAUAUGAAAGAAAAGUUUCAAAAGUAUUGGAAGGAGUAUAGUAUUGGGUUAGCUUUUGGAGCUAUUCUUGAUCUACGACUAAAGGCUGAUUUUACAACAUAUUGUUAUAAAAAAUUGGAUCCUCUAACCUAUGCAGAGAAAACAAAGAAAGUGUUAGAGAAGUUCAAGAGGUUAUUUAAAGAAUAUGUAAAGAAUUUUUCUACCUCUAGUGUUUCUCUUUCCCAAUCACCUACUGAAUCCAUCUUGAUGUCUCAGUCCAAUACUGAAGGGAAAAAGUUUAAGAGAUAGAGGAUUAUUUCGGAUUUUAAAAUGUAUCAAAAUGAAUCAAAAUUUAUCAUUGGAAAGAACGAGAUAGAUGUUUAUUUAGAUGAACCAACAAUAGAUGAUGAUGAAGACAUUGAAGAUUUUGAUGUGCUCAAAUAUUGGAAGACUAAUGAGAAAAAAUUUGUCAUAUUGUCUAUAAUGGCUCGAGAUGUGUUUAGUAUUCCCAUUACUACAGUGGCAUCAGAGUCAGCUUUUAGCAAAGGUGGGUGUGUACUUUCGAAAUAUAGAAGCUCCAUUCUUCCUAGACACAUGCAAAUGUUGAUUUGUACUCAAAAUUGGUUAUAUGGAUUUUCUGAAAAUCCUAGCGACGAAAUUGUUGAAGAUAUAUUUUUGCUCAUGAGAGAAGUGAUGAGUCUAAACUUUUAGAAGAUGUUGAAAGUCUUCAACAUUGAAUAAAGGAUGUUUCAUUUAACUUUGUCUUAGGUACUUCCCU
Vigna umbellata (rice bean) is the source of this 2349-nucleotide non-coding RNA. Lineage: Eukaryota; Viridiplantae; Streptophyta; Magnoliopsida; Fabales; Fabaceae. The record is from RefSeq and is a predicted model, not a curated record.